UCAUUACCGAAUUGUCAACAAGAGUUGUUGCUGGUCCCUGUAUGGGGGCAUGUGCACGCUCUGUUCACACAUCCACUCACACCUGUGCACCCUCUGUAGUUCUAUGGCCUGGGUGGGCUCUGUCCCCCUGCUGUGGUUCUGCGUCUUUACACACACACUACAACAAAGUCUCAUGGAAUGUAUGUCGCGUUUAACGCAAUGAAAUACAACUUUCAGCAACGGAUCUCUUGGCUCUCGCAUCGAUGAAGAACGCAGCGAAAUGCGAUAAGUAAUGUGAAUUGCAGAAUUCAGUGAAUCAUCGAAUCUUUGAACGCACCUUGCGCCCUUUGGCUAUUCCGAAGGGCAUGCCUGUUUGAGUAUCAUGAACACCUCAACUCUCAUGGCUUGCCGUGAUGAGCUUGGACUUUGGGGGUCUUGUUGGCCUGUGAGCCAGCUCCUCUUAAAUGAAUUAGCUUGCCGGUGUUUGGUGGCGUCACAGGUGUGAUAACUAUCUACGCUUGUGGUUUCCCAUCAGAUAACCUUCAGUGAUGGAGGUUCACCGGGGCUUAUAAACGUCUCUCCUCGGUGAGGACAGAUUUUGACCGUUUGAUCUC
Molecule: unclassified non-coding RNA, 593 nt
Filed under: uncultured Tomentella
Lineage: Eukaryota; Fungi; Basidiomycota; Agaricomycetes; Thelephorales; Thelephoraceae
Description: sequence contains ITS1, 5.8S rRNA gene and ITS2
Rfam family: 5.8S ribosomal RNA (bases 208-362)
Source: RNAcentral